Molecule: ribosomal RNA, 253 nt
Filed under: uncultured bacterium
Lineage: Bacteria
Description: partial 16S ribosomal RNA
Rfam family: Bacterial small subunit ribosomal RNA
Source: RNAcentral
UACAGAGGUCUCAAGCGUUGUUCGGAAUCACCGGGCGUAAAGCGUGCGUAGGCUGUUUCGUAAGUCGUGUGUGAAAGGCGCGGGCUCAACCCGCGGACGGCACAUGAUACUGCGAGACUAGAGUAAUGGAGGGGGAACCGGAAUUCUCGGUGUAGCAGUGAAAUGCGUAGAUAUCGAGAGGAACACUCGUGGCGAAGGCGGGUUCCUGGACAUUAACUGACGCUGAGGCACGAAGGCCAGGGGAGCGAAAGGG